UCACACCUGGGUUUUAGGGACCCGGGCGCGAACAUAAUCACCAGGUGUGCUGGGACCAAGUCUGACACAUAUGAUGAAUCAUGGUAAAGAUACAAAUGUCACAACUUUAAUAUAUAAUAAGAGUUAUGUAUAAAAUAAAUAAAUAAUUACAUCGUAAGGAGACAACGAUCCAGCAACCAAAAGUUGACUGGGAGACGACGGCCUAGACCUCUCACGAACACAUCGUAGCAUCCUCCAUGUGCCUCAUCCUGAGGUACCUGUUCUUGACCUCUGGGGGUGUGAGACAGCAAGGGUGAGCUCACAUAUAUUCAUCGCUCAACAAGUUGUGGGGAAUAAUGUGCAUGAACUCGCCAAAGGUAGGAGCUCAUGUGAAGUGUAAGGCUUACCAAAGAUAAUGGUUAAAGCUGAGCAUUGCUUUUAAAGUUGUUCAAAAUUUUAUUAGCAAUUACUAGGUGUAAGUAAAUACCAAACCAUAAUAAUAAUAGAACAAAAUUAAUAAUAAAUCCCAUGCAAUGCAAAUGACAAAUUGAAUUUAGUUCCAUAGUUUAAUCAUGUGAGAUUCCUGAGCUGCUCUUGACCGUGAGCUCGGCUAGUAUACUAGUUUUACACUCUGUAGAGGUUGUACCCUGUACCCACAAGUCGUGUAUCCCAUAUUGCUAGGGUAAGCUAGACCCUUAGACACUACUUAGGUGAAUGGCUAGGGAUCCACUACGAGGCCUUUAUAAAGUUCCACUAGCUUCCGAAAACCCUCUACAGUUUCUGGGAAGAGCAAUUGCAAGAAUCCCUCGUAUGACCGCCAUCGCAGAAAAAUCAACCCGAGGACCUCCCUGCAUGCCUACUCCCCUACUGCCCUUGCCCCUUUCGGGUAAGGUAGUCUUCCACUAGCUUUCCUAAUUAGUCAGCCAAGGGCGUCCCAUUCCACCCUUGUGGUGGCACAUGUUUCUCAAGUUAAGCUCCAUGUUCCAAAUAAAAUAAUAUAAUGAUCUUGAUAUGAACAUAAAUAAAAUAAUAGAAUAAUCGGAACAUGGACAUAAUGUAAUAUUAAUCUCAAAACCGUAUAGAGAAAUAGCAAAACUACCCAAAUGAUUCAGGGGUAAACAAGGUAACAAGAUAAGCAGACUAGGACAACCUAUUGGGUCCCGUCAAAAUUAAACCUAUGCAUGAAUAAAUGAUUAUAAAGAACAUUAUUGGGUAAAUAAAAGUGAUCAAGGGCACAACUUGCCUGGGACUUGAGAUUCUAGGUACCAGGAUGAUCUUCAGAUUCUCGUGACCUCACGCUAGUCGUAGCAAUACAAACAAACAUGGUAUAGACAGAAUUAACAUUACACCAAACAUAAGAAUAAACUAUAUAAUAAUAAUCUACGUGUUGCUAUGAGAUUGUAGGUUCGAGAAUUACUCAGAUCGGAGUCAUGAUUUAUGGAAGAUCUAUGUGAUUAAACUAUAUUAUAAACUGGUUAGUGUAAAUCAUAUGAGAGAUUAUUCUAUAAAUAAUUAUCUCAACUUUAAUCUAAGUCAUUAAAAGAUCAUCUAGUCAAAUUAUAACCAUAAGAUCAGAAUACUAUAUAUUAGUAUUAAAGAAGUUAAUCCAAUAGACAUAGAUUAAUCCAAUUAACAUAGGAUAAAUAAAUUAAUUAUUUACAACAUGUCUCAUGUUAAAAUAAGGUUACCAAAGUGUAGAUAAUUUUAUUAUGAAGCUAACCCAAUCUGAACGGUGUAAAUCGGAGUUACGGUUAAAAAGUUACGAGUUUCUAAAGAUUUAAGAAUCAGGUACAAAAGAUAUUAAGCACAUAAUUUUAACCUUAGAUUUCAUAACAAAAUAAUCUACCAGGGGAUAAACAAUAUUAUUAUGGAUCUAAUGCAAUUGGGAUGGAUCGAUUUGGAGUUACGGAUUGCGAGUUAUGAAUUUCCGAAGUCCUUAUGUGUUUGGUACAAAUAUAAUUGUGUGAUAAAUUUUAAUAUAGUUUUCAUGCUAGAACAAUGUUACUCAGUGAUAGACAAUAUUAUUACCAAAUUAUAGGAACUGGAAUGGAUUAAAAAGGAGCUAAGAUAUAUUUUAUAUGAAUUAUACAAGUUCUGGAAUUAUUUUGCCACUAGAAAUUAAUUUCCUAAAUCUUUUUUUCCUAUUUUAUCAGACUUUAGGACUACGCGCAGGAUUUUAGAGAAGUGCAGGGUCUAAUUCGGAAGACUCUCAAGGCUCAGGCUAUAGCUGGAGUGGACUACGGGUUGAAUAGUUUAAAGUGAAGGAUCUCUUUAAGAAAAUACCUGGUCGAAGGGGUAUAUGUUAUUCCUAACCGUUCGAUCCACAAUCGAUGAUUUGGAUUAGAUCAAAGCCCCGUGAAACGGUACCCAAUGGGAUAGCCAUCAGAUUAGAUCUUGACGGUCCAGGUUUAAUGUUACCUACAUCGAUCACAAGCGCUAGAUCUAGAUCGGACGAACCAGAUUGGUUCAUCCGAACCGGUAUGGGUGGACUAAUCCUAGCCACUCACUCCAAGAUCUAUGGCUCAGGACUCAUCGGCGAAGGGGAGAUGCUAGAUUAUAUUUAGGCCACUGAUCCAGGAAUCGACGGCAACGGCGUUAUCGCCUACCUCCGGCUCGGCUGGCAAUGACACCGCGCCUGCCCUAGGGCCGCGACCAACCAGAGCCGAAGAAGCAACCUAUAAGGGCGAGCGCGAUCCUGCGUAUCGCCGCCGGUGGGUGUCCCAGUAACGACGUGGGCAGAGCCCGCAGUGGCGGCCGUAAGCUGCGGCUGCGCCCAGCCGAUGAGGGCAGCAAGAACCCCGAUGACUACAACCCAGCGCAGCAAGGCAAAAUAGGAAGACAGGUAAGGUCGCAUGGGUGCCUUACCGUGAUCCAUGCCGAGGCAGUUCUCCGCUCCCACAUGGUGCGACCCACGGCACCAGCAGCAUCGAAGCACUAGGUAGCCAUCUUAUUCCCUCUGGAUCUCUCCCUGCGCUCGACCAUGGUGGCUGUGGCUACGACGCUUGGAGCCGGGACGCGGUAGCCGAUACCCUGCGCAUGGCCCGGCAGCAAGGAGUGGCAAUGGGAAGAUGCAGCACGCGACGAAGUGGUGGCCCGGGUCUGUGCAUUUAUGGCCCCUAGUGAGCAAGAGAACGACCUUGGC
RNAcentral lists this long non-coding RNA (3121 nucleotides) under Zea mays. RNAcentral's name for it is "long non-coding RNA (ZMAY_LNC003728)". Lineage: Eukaryota; Viridiplantae; Streptophyta; Magnoliopsida; Poales; Poaceae. The record is from RNAcentral.